AUUGAACGCUGGCGGCAUGCCUUACACAUGCAAGUCGAACGGUAACAGGUCUUCGGAUGCUGACGAGUGGCGAACGGGUGAGUAACACAUCGGAACGUGCCUAGUAGUGGGGGAUAACUACUCGAGAGAGUGGCUAAUACCGCAUGAGAUCUACGGAUGAAAGCAGGGGAUCGCAAGACCUUGUGCUACUAGAGCGGCCGAUGGCAGAUUAGGUAGUUGGUGGGAUAAAAGCUUACCAAGCCGACGAUCUGUAGCUGGUCUGAGAGGACGAUCAGCCACACUGGGACUGAGACACGGCCCAGACUCCUACGGGAGGCAGCAGUGGGGAAUUUUGGACAAUGGGCGCAAGCCUGAUCCAGCAAUGCCGCGUGCAGGAUGAAGGCCUUCGGGUUGUAAACUGCUUUUGUACGGAACGAAAAGCCCUGGGUUAAUACCUUGGGGUCAUGACGGUACCGUAAGAAUAAGCACCGGCUAACUACGUGCCAGCCGCCGCCGUAA
RNAcentral lists this ribosomal RNA (498 nucleotides) under uncultured bacterium. RNAcentral's name for it is "partial 16S ribosomal RNA". It matches the Rfam family "Bacterial small subunit ribosomal RNA", at positions 30 to 523 of the family's 1533-position model. The record is from RNAcentral.